RNAcentral lists this ribosomal RNA (497 nucleotides) under uncultured bacterium. Its description in RNAcentral is "partial 16S ribosomal RNA". It matches the Rfam family "Bacterial small subunit ribosomal RNA", at positions 28 to 507 of the family's 1533-position model. The record is from RNAcentral.
GAUGAACGCUGGCGGCGUGCCUAAUACAUGCAAGUCGAGCGAACGGACGAGAAGCUUGCUUCUCUGAUGUUAGCGGCGGACGGGUGAGUAACACGUGGAUAACCUACCUAUAUGACUGGGAUAACUUCGGGAAACCGUAGCUAACACCGGAUAAUAUUUUGAACCGCAUGGUUCAAAAGUGAAAGACGGUCUUGCUGUCACUUAUAGAUGGAUCCGCGCUGCAUUAGCUAGUUGGUAAGGUAACGGCUUACCAAGGCAACGAUGCAUAGCCGACCUGAGAGGGUGAUCGGCCACACUGGGACUGAGACACGGUCCAGACUCCUACGGGAGGCAGCAGUAGGGAAUCUUCCGCAAUGGGCGAAAGCCUGACGGAGCAACGCCGAGUGAGUGAUGAAGGUCUUCGGGUCGUGAAACUCUGUUAUUAGGGAAGAACAUAUGUGUAAGUAACUGUGCACAUCUUGACGGUACCUAAGCAGAAAGCCACGGCUAACUACGUG